GAAUUCGAUUGGGGAAUUUUCCUGCAAUGGGCGAAAGCCUGACGGAGCAAGACCGCGUGGGGGAUGAAGGUUUGUGGAUUGUAAACCCCUUUUGAUUGGGAAGAAUACUGACGGUACCAAUCGAAUAAGCCUCGGCUAACUCCGUGCCAGCAGCCGCGGUAAUACGGAGGAGGCAAGCGUUAUCCGGAAUUAUUGGGCGUAAAGCGUCCGUAGGUGGUUUAGUAAGUCUGCUGUUAAAGCGCGGGGCUUAACUCCGUAUCGGCAGUGGAAACUACUAGACUAGAGUGUGGUAGGGGUAGAGGGAAUUCCCAGCUGUAGCGGUGAAAUGCGUAGAUAUUGGGAAGAACACCGGUGGCGAAAGCGCUCUACUGGGCCAUAACUGACACUGAUGGACGAAAGCUAGGGGAGCGAAAGGGAUUAGAUACCCC
RNAcentral lists this ribosomal RNA (428 nucleotides) under uncultured cyanobacterium. RNAcentral describes it as "bacterial SSU rRNA". It matches the Rfam family "Bacterial small subunit ribosomal RNA", at positions 346 to 788 of the family's 1533-position model. The record is from RNAcentral. Lineage: Bacteria; Bacillati; Cyanobacteriota.